AGAAUAUAAGAACCCGUCUUUUAAGUUUUAACUAAAAAAAAUAAAAACUGGCUCUUAAAUAAGAUAUUUAAAAGCCAGUUUUUAGUUUUUUUAGUUAAAAAUUAAGAAACGGAUUCUUAUAUUCU
Brassica napus (rape) is the source of this 125-nucleotide non-coding RNA. The record is from Rfam. NCBI's taxonomy places the organism in Eukaryota, Viridiplantae, Streptophyta, Magnoliopsida, Brassicales, Brassicaceae.